Long non-coding RNA from Austrofundulus limnaeus, 516 nucleotides. RefSeq lists it as uncharacterized. NCBI's taxonomy places the organism in Eukaryota, Metazoa, Chordata, Actinopteri, Cyprinodontiformes, Rivulidae. The record is from RefSeq and is a predicted model, not a curated record. The transcript has 2 exons.
GAAAAAUCAACAGUGUAUCAAAUACUUGUUCUCCCCACUGUAAUUCAAAGAGCUAUACAACAGUGAUGCUGUCAGGGAUAAACACCCUGAUCCACAGCACCACUACACCAGUCAGGACAAACCAGAAGAGGAAAACAGGAAAAAGACAAGGAUUGAAAGGGAAGCAGGUCCCACAGCUUCUCUGCGUCAACCCCCCCAUCCCCAUACCUCUCAUUGGAUUCUGGGUCCAUAAGAUGCCUCCGAUGAGGUGAGGAGACUGACCGAGCAUCCCGACUUUAACKUCCCAGAACGAGCGCCUUUAAUUAAAAUGUAAAUUGACAAUCACGAGGAAGAUGAGCACAUGUCCACCUGCUGCCUUGAUGACGGGUCUGUUGCAUCAAAACACAAUAACUCUGCCUAUCAUCUAUAAACACACAAAAUAAAAUUUAAAUAAAUAACUUAGAGCUUCUUCUUCCUCCUGAGAACACUCGGUGCCAGGUAAACCAGAGGUGAUUAUGCAAAAAAAAAAAAAAAAAA